Molecule: ribosomal RNA, 394 nt
Filed under: uncultured bacterium
Lineage: Bacteria
Description: partial 16S ribosomal RNA
Rfam family: Bacterial small subunit ribosomal RNA
Source: RNAcentral
AUACGGAGGAUGCAAGCGUUAUCCGGAUUUAUUGGGUUUAAAGGGUGCGUAGGCGGAUGAUUAAGCGUGAGGUGAAAUGCCACUGCUCAACAGUGGAACUGCCUCGCGAACUGGUUGUCUUGAAUGCUCCUGCCGUGGGAGGAAUGUGUGGUGUAGCGGUGAAAUGCAUAGAGAUCACACAGAACACCGAUUGCGAAGGCAUCUCACGAAGGGGUGAUUGACGCUGAGGCACGAAAGCGUGGGGAUCAAACAGGAUUAGAUACCCUGGUAGUCCACGCAGUAAACGAUGAUAACUAACCGCUGGGUCGUAGUGAUUCAGUGGCCAAGCGAAAGCGAUAAGUUAUCCACCUGGGGAGUACGACCGCAAGGUUGAAACUUAAAUGAAUUGGCGGGG